CUUCAUCUUCUAAGCAUUUGUACAGUGAGGCAGAGAAGACUUCUUAACACCUCCACAAAGUUUUUAUCUUCUACAUUUUGGGCUGACGGUUCACAUUAUGUACACAAGACUGGUAACUGAUUCAGAGGAUACGAUGUCACAGUCCAGCGGUGCAAGUGUUAUUAUAUUGACACUGACUGAAAGGCUUCAUGGCCAAGAGGGGCUGUCCGAGAUCAAGUCUUAGCUUAGAGAAACUCAGAAACCAGAACUUCCUUUCUUCCAUCACCAGAAGGUUCAUCUCAUCAACUCUUGUUACUGAAACAGCAUCUUCCAUGGCCAAGAAUUGAACACUGCAACUUAGUGAACUUCCUCUAUCGUGUCCAGACAAUAUGGAGUGCUUUUCCUGAAUUACAUGUUCAUCAAGAAUCACAACUGCAUUCACCUGACAGUUAGGAUUACAGUAUCAUAUCGGCCAGGCCAUCACUUCUGCAAUCUUCACCAGCAAAGGAGGCAGAUAUUCUGUGGCUUCGUACUGGGGCACCUUGGAACACACUUUCUGUGGUUUGUUUGGCCCUGCUGAACAUGACAAACUGGACAUAAGAAGGCAUUAUAAGUACUGGGUGAAUGCUCAUGUCUUUGCUGCCCAUUGGAACAGUGUUAAAAUAAAGCUCCUUUUGACACGCUUAGGUGUAAACAUCGUUUCCAGGUAGGAAAGUGUUCUGAAGAUUUUUAAGCCAGGUGAUUUUAAAAAUGCUCCCUUUGAAACAAAAGGACCUCAGCAGGGAUUUUGGCUGAUGCAUUUGUGAGGCAAAGGGGAAUAUAUCAGCAUGACUUAGCCUCUGGCUCCCGAGGAUGGUUUCACGCGUGGGAAAUGCGGCUGCGAGAGCACCGGCCAAGGCGCGCUGAUGCGGGCGCUGUCCGUG
Molecule: long non-coding RNA, 902 nt
Organism: Gallus gallus (chicken)
Lineage: Eukaryota; Metazoa; Chordata; Aves; Galliformes; Phasianidae
Source: Ensembl